UAGUGAGUUUGAUCCUGGCUCAGAACGAACGCUGGCGGCAUGCCUAACACAUGCAAGUCGAACGAACCCUUCGGGGUUAGUGGCGCACGGGUGCGUAACGCGUGGGAAUCUGCCCUUUGGUUCGGAAUAACAGUUAGAAAUGACUGCUAAUACCGGAUGAUGACUUCGGUCCAAAGAUUUAUCGCCAGAGGAUGAGCCCGCGUAGGAUUAGGUAGUUGGUGGGGUAAAGGCCUACCAAGCCGACGAUCCAUAGCUGGUUUGAGAGGAUGAUCAGCCACACUGGGACUGAGACACGGCCCAGACUCCUACGGGAGGCAGCAGUGGGGAAUAUUGGACAAUGGGCGAAAGCCUGAUCCAGCAAUUCCGCGUGAGUGAUGAAGGCCCUUAGGGGUUGUAAACCCUCUUUUGCCAGGGAAGAUAAUGACUGUACCUGGAGAAUAAAGCCCCGGCUAACUUCGUGCCAGCAGCCGCGGUAAUC
Molecule: ribosomal RNA, 478 nt
Filed under: uncultured Sphingomonadaceae bacterium
Lineage: Bacteria; Pseudomonadati; Pseudomonadota; Alphaproteobacteria; Sphingomonadales; Sphingomonadaceae
Description: bacterial SSU rRNA
Rfam family: Bacterial small subunit ribosomal RNA
Source: RNAcentral